RNAcentral lists this ribosomal RNA (100 nucleotides) under Shigella flexneri. The record is from RNAcentral. Lineage: Bacteria; Pseudomonadati; Pseudomonadota; Gammaproteobacteria; Enterobacterales; Enterobacteriaceae.
CGGUGGUCCCACCUGACCCCAUGCCGAACUCAGAAGUGAAACGCCGUAGCGCCGAUGGUAGUGUGGGGUCUCCCCAUACGAGAGUAGGGAACUGCCAGGC